Molecule: ribosomal RNA, 450 nt
Filed under: uncultured bacterium
Lineage: Bacteria
Description: partial 16S ribosomal RNA
Rfam family: Bacterial small subunit ribosomal RNA
Source: RNAcentral
GUGGGGAAUCUUGCGCAAUGGGCGAAAGCCUGAUCCAGCCAUGCCGCGUGUGUGAAGAAGGUCUUCGGAUUGUAAAGCACUUUAAGUUGGGAGGAAGGGCAGUAAGUUAAUACCUUGCUGUUUUGACGUUACCGACAGAAUAAGCACCGGCUAACUUCGUGCCAGCAGCCGCGGUAAUACGAAGGGUGCAAGCGUUAAUCGGAAUUACUGGGCGUAAAGCGCGCGUAGGUGGUUUUGUAAGUUGGAGGUGAAAUACCCGGGCUGAACCUGGGAACUGCCUCCAAAACUGCAUGACUAGAGUACGGUAGAGGGUAGUGGAAUUUCCUGUGUGGCGGUGAAAUGCGUAGAUAUAGGAAGGAACACCAGUGGCGAAGGCGACUACCUGGACUGAUACUGACACUGAGGUACGAAAGCGUGGGGAGCAAACAGGAUUAGAAACCCCGGUAGUCC